This 72-nucleotide transfer RNA is filed under the name Cricetulus griseus (Chinese hamster). It matches the Rfam family "tRNA". Rfam says of the family: Transfer RNA (tRNA) molecules are approximately 80 nucleotides in length. Their secondary structure includes four short double-helical elements and three loops (D, anti-codon, and T loops). The record is from Rfam by way of RNAcentral. Lineage: Eukaryota; Metazoa; Chordata; Mammalia; Rodentia; Cricetidae.
AGGCCAGUGGCGAAAAAGAUAACGCAUCUGACUAUGAAUCAGAAGAUUUAGGAAUUGAGUUCCUCAGUUCUC